RNAcentral lists this long non-coding RNA (11476 nucleotides) under Malus domestica (apple). RNAcentral describes it as "long non-coding RNA (MDOM_LNC009787)". The record is from RNAcentral. Lineage: Eukaryota; Viridiplantae; Streptophyta; Magnoliopsida; Rosales; Rosaceae.
ACACUGCUAAAAUAUUAUCCCGAGAUUGAAGAAGGUGUCACGGUCCAACAAGAUGAUCGAUGAUUUACAUGAUUGUGCAAGCUGAGGGAUUUUCUUCAUAAUACCCUCUGUUGCCACUGCCGUAACUGUCAUACACAGGCCUCCCAUAAUAACCAUCAUACUGGAUGUACGGGGAUGGCCCCCCGCCAUAACCACUAUGCCACGACCCACAUGCACGCCCCUGGUAACAAUCCAUACAACACGCUUGAACAGGCGGUGGGUACCCUGGCACAUAAGGAACCGGCUGCAUAUAAAGAGGAGAAUGCUUCACUAGCUCCAUCUGUGGUAUAGACUUCUGGACCUCCUUGGGUGUGUCUGCCGGUUUAGAUUUGUCGGCCUCUUUGGGUUUUUCUAUGCCUUUAGGUUUGUCUGCAAGCUGUGGCUUGGGCUUCUCGGGCUCUUUGAUCUCGAUGCUUUUGAUAACACUCCCACCUUUGUAGCAAAUCUUGUCCCUUAUCUUUUCAGGACUGCAGCAUACCACUUUGAUCACCACUUGGUUUUGCUUCUCGUCAUAUAUCUGAUCUUGUAUUUCUCUUGUUCACAAACACACAUUAAUUUACUCAGUUUACAUUUAAUCUAAAUUAGUCUUAUUUUCCUAAAAAGAACAAACUUUAACUAUGGUUUUUCAUCAAAUAACUAUAGACGAAUCAAGGAGAAGAGAGACUCACGAGGGAAUUUACGAAGAACUUUUUUGACCUUCUUGUAGCAUUUGUGACACUGAAGAUCCACCUUCAGCACCAUAAUCGUAACCUGAAUUAUCCAUUUUUAAUAUUAAUAGAAAAAAUAUGUACAUUAACCAAAGAUUGACAAGAAUGAAUCUUCAGAAAAUAUAUAAAUAUACAGAAGAUUGUUGUACAAAAGUGUAGACAAAAAGAAAUGGAACAUUGCUGCUGGACAAUCAGGGUUCUGACUGACUGAGAGGGAAGAACCAUGGUGAAGGUAUGUGGCAAAAUCAGUAACAAAGAGAGAGAGAGAGAGAGAGAGAGAGAGAGAGAGAGAGAGGCGAAAAACAACAAAAUAGCACAGAGGAGGGGACAUGGGUUCUUAUUAGGAUAUAAAUAAAAGAAUGGGAACCACAAAAACUUAAACAAGAGCUUAAAGCCUUUUAGUUUUAGCCGUACAAAUCCUCAUUUGGGUUAUCUGCUUAUCCUUGGAAGAAGAAAAUGAAGAGAACGCAAACUAUACCAAAUAUUACGUACCUUUUCCUUUUCCCCCAUUGCAGUGAGUAGUGGAAUGAGAACUUCUCAACUAAAAUGAUUGAAUGGGACUACUGCUCUCAUGAAACCGACUUUUAUAAUUAUUAGUUAUGAGCACGCACCAUGUGUGUGAACAAUUUCAUUUUGUUUUUUGUUUAUUAAGAAGUGUGAUUAGUUUUUAAAAUUUUAAAAAGAGUAUGAAAAAAUGAUGAUGGAACAAUUUCUCUUAAUAAGUGCAUAUUUUAUCUUAAUAUUACAUAAUUACUAUUUUGCCCUCCUUAUGUAAAUAUUAUGUAUCAAAAGUGAGGGUAAAAUAGGAAAAAUAGAGAUAUGUUUGUCAUUUUCUCAAAAGAUACAAAAUUACUAUUUUGCCCUCCUUAUGUAAGUAUUGUGUAUUAAAAGUGAGAGAAAAAUUGGAAAAAUGUGCAAAAGAUACAAAAUUACUAUUUUGCACUCCAUAUGUAAGUAUUGUGUAUGAAAAGUGAGGCCAAAAUUGGAAAAAAGGGGGAAAAAGUUGACAACAAGGGUUUUCUUAAUAUAUACUAUAGAUAUAUACAUAUUUCUACAAAAAUAUAUAAAAAUAGGAAUAUAAUUCGGUGGAACAAAGCAAAGAGAAAGAGAGAAGGAGAGAGCAAUAUAGGAAGGUUGAUUUCAUGCUAUAUGGUGGACAAAAGUUUCAUUGUAACUGUAAUACGAGUGGUAUACCAUGUAUAAGUGGUGAGAAAUUUUAUUUUUUAAGUUAUUAAUUUUUUUAACACAAGUAGCUCAUUAUUUUUAUAAUAACAUGUACUGUAUCAUUCUGUAUUCUGAACACGCUGAAAGAUCUCUACAUGAUUGAGGGUUUUCGUUAUACGAAGAUAGUUUCUAAUGAUCGCUAAAAAUUGCACUUUCUUGCACAUGUAUGUGCUGGCUUUGAUUCACCCACCUCAACUUCCAUACUUGCCAUGUAUGUGCUAAUAUUAUUUUAAGUAAAUGAGUCCAUGAUCAAAAUAAAAUUACAUCCUAAGUUUAUUAAUUAUUUAAGUUCACAUAGAGUUUGGUGGAGAGGAGAGCUGCCAAUAUUAUUUCAAGAUCGCCAAAUUAAUGGAGAAAAAACUAUAUUGUAAGGUCGACAGUUUGGUCAAGUUCACUUAUGGAUCAUGCACCCCCACAUGGCACCUGUAAAUUCCUCCAGUUGUCCCUAGCUCGGUGCCACCCAUCUUUGACUAGCUACUUGAAGUUUGGUUUGCUAAUCCAAACCGGUGAAGACACGUCUAGUGAUUAGGAUAACGACUUGGAUGCAACUGAUACUUCAUCAUUUUAGAACCAGGGGUUUCGAUUUACCGGCAUACGUACAUACAUGACGCAUCACAUAUAUGUGGAAUUUGGCGUGGAAAAAAUGAAUGUAAUACCCCUAUUACCUGCAAUGUACUGGAGAGAGAAUGGAUGAUCAAAUUUCAAAAAGCGUCGGCUCCAGACGACAGAAGUGUGGCUACUGCCUAAGAAAACCGCUCCAAGUGUCCCAAUUUCAUAGAGGUGGGCUGGCUCACACGAUAGUGGUUGAUCAAUCCGAUUUGAUCUUUUCUUCUUGUUUAAGGGUUUAGCGGUCCAUUUAUUAAGUGCAUCACAGCUCAUUCAUUUGUACGUAUGACUUGAUAUGUUUCGUGUUGAUACAACCGACAUGGGAAAUGAGGAUGAGAUUAGUGGACAUUAGGUGUGUCGAUAUUUAAAUGUGAAAGUUUUAACGAAAAAUUCACGGUAUUGUUCAUUUUAACGAAAAAUCACAUUUGUACACUAAAAAAUCAAACAUGGUACCAUGCACUUUACUCUUUAUUUUAUCUUUAUCGUUAAAACUCUUUUCAAACCAUUUUCAUUGAUUUUCCUUUUAAAUUAAUUACUUGUUUACUUAAUUAUCUUUUUGGUGCAAUGAGGUUUCAAUACUAGAAAGUAGUACACUAUGUUAGAGUAAAUGUAGAAAUAUAGAAAAUCAACUAAAGAAUGACUUUGAGGUACGACUUGAAUCGUUUCUUUAAAUUGUUAUUUGUCCACACUCGAAUGUUUGCUAAAGGGUUAUUGGCAAAUCACUUCCAGGAUACAACAAAGUAUGAAAUAUUCGAUUAGCAAAACCGAAUUGUAUUCCCUUAGAAAUAACUAGAAAGAAAUUGUAUGAAUGUGAUAUGGAGAAAGAAGAGAGCAAAGAAAUUGUGUAGACAACAAAUUUCUCAAAGAAUUUUCUCUUCUUCCAAUGUUAUCAAUAUAUAGAGAGAAUUGCACAUGUUCAAGUUAAUCGAAAGUACAUAACUUUUGAAGUCAUAUUGGUUCAAUAUGUCAUAUCUGUUUGAACAUAUACAAAGCAUUAUCCAAAGGGCAUUUUAAUGAGUAUAUCUGAUGAAGAGCACCAAUUACCUAAAGAUCAUAUUUGCUAGGAAAAUGAUUACACUUGUUGACCAUGAGUCAUGUCUUUUUUGGCAACAAUCAAAAGAUGCGGUUUUUAAAUUGAAGAGAUGUGAUUGUUGGGAAGGAAUCCAACUCUAUUCUCUGCCAAUACAAAACGCACGCAUAUGCAUAUACAUAUUUUAUAUAUCUAUAUAUAUAUAUAUAUAUAUAUAUAUAUAUAUAUUCUUGAAAUAUCCUACAAUCAAGGUUUUAAAAAUCGCUAGGCGCUAAUCGGGCGGCGGGCUGGGGCCUAGCGCCUAGGCGGGGCCUAGGCGGGAGCCUAGGCGGACUAGGCGGAUUUAAGUAAAUCUAUCAUAUUUCAAGUAAAUAAGUGUCUGCUUCUACUUGAAAUAUAUAUAAUUUCAUCAUAAACUACAAAACAGAAUGCAUAUAUAUCAUGAAGUAUUGGAACAUAAUGAAAACAUGUGAAAUAAGAAUAUAAUGUUUGUUCAUUCAAGUAUGCAACAAGUCUCUUACAAUUUAUUGGAAAAAAACAAAAUACAAAAUGAAAGUUAUGUAUUUUCUGUCUAAGUGAGUUGCAACCUAGGCGGGUCUAGGCGGGCUAGGCGGAUGCCUAGGCGGGCUAGGCGGGUGCCUAGGUGGUCUAGGCGGUGGGCUGGGGCCUAGGCAUUAAUCGGGGCGGUGGGCUAGGGCCUAGCGCCUAGGUGGGGCCUAGCGCCUAGGUGGGGCCUAGGCGGGGAUUUUUAGAACAGUGCCUACAAUACACACCCUAACAAUGGUCAAAAGUAGUGUGCUGGUGUAUCAUGUUGCCUAGCUAGCUACAUAUUCAUAUUUUGUGGUUGCGAACUGGCUUAUGGGAUUGAGGCAACACAAAAAAUGGUGAGUUUUUCAGGCAACACUCAUGUGUGCCGAUCAAUUAAGAGUUCAAAAUCGUGAAAAUAUAAUGUACGUACUACGUAUACCAGUUCAAUAAAUCUUUUUUACUUUAUACAAGACCAACGUGCUUUGUCUUGUUAUUUGAUUGACUAAAGUUGUUAUCGUUUGCUAAUAUAUAUUUGUGACCUCAGCUUAUCAAGAAAUAUGAUUUAAUAAUAAUAGUUUUGUUGUCCUUUUGGCUCUCUUAAUUUGAUUCUAAACAUUAAAAUUUGAUUUCACUUUCCUGCCUGCUUCCUGCUUCUGCAUGCAUACAAUAUUGCUAAGUUUUGCAUUUUGGACAUAUGGAAUGUUUUGUAACUCAACUUUUGUCCUUGAAUUACGUUGUUUUGUGGAUGCACGGGAUCGGUGGUUAGAGAUCUCGUCUUGAUCGCUGUCAUGCAAAUAGUACAUACGUAAUACAAAGAUUAGGCAGAGGUAACUUUGUGUAAUUUCUGGUGCCGCUCUAUGCUGUGCGCAGGUGUGCGCAUCGCCUGCGCGUAACGUCUUGGAGAUGAAAUCCCAGCCUUCCACCUCUAAGGCCUUAAAACCAACGGAUGUGAUGAGUGUUAAAUCCCUUGUACGCAACCCAUGCGCAGGGGAGAAAUUCAGCCGACACUGUUUUCUCACCCUGAUCGAAUGGACUUAUAGCAGCUUCAAUAUACCCACCACAGGCCUAAGUUUGUAGAUAAAAUCACCACUAAGAAUUUGGGCCGAUUCUGAAAUAUCGAAGCCCAAACUUAGAAGAGAUUUUAAAACGGGAUUUGAGAUUUUUCGUCACCAGACUUGACCCAGCGAAGCUGGCAACGAAUACAGUACACACCCACCCACGCCCACCUAGGAAAUCCCUUAAUCUUAACGCACAAAACCCUUUGGGAAAUUGACAUUUUGAGAAAAACAUUUUGAAAAGCUUCCUGGCUCAGAAAAUGAUAAAACCAUGCAACCCAUAACCAUAUUUUAUUGUGUUAGUGCUUUGUACAAAGGAUUAAUCACCGGUGUUUAUAUAACACAUGAAAGUAACAUAUUCCUGCUCAUCUAUCUCAUUUGUAGAAGAGAUGUAAACGUUUCUAUUCGACUUUUAAUAGAUUUCUCUUCCCAUUGAGUAGAGAAACGUAAAGAGUGAGGUUCUCAUUUUGAUCCCGUUAAAAUUUGAAUGGUGUUGUUGUGUCCCAUAUAUUGGUCCCAUUGAGUACAGAAAUGUCUACAUGAUUCUAUCACAAGCAAAUAACAUGCCAUGUAUCUUGAGAAUUAUGAUAGCAGAAAUAAGCCUUAGAAAGUAAGCAUCUAAGGUCACUUCAGUCUGUGAAGGUCAGGGCCGGCCUUACGGGUAGCCAGGUAAGGCAAUCGCCUAAUUCCCCCAACUUCUAGGGGCCCCCAAAUUUUUUAUAUGUAUGUAUUAGUAUAUAAAUACUUUUAAAGUAAGACGGAUAACACAAAAAACUUGGUGGCGUAGUGGAAAGGAAAGCAUUUAUUUGGUUACCAUCUCCUGUUCAAAACAUGAUGAAGACUCCCCAAACAAGUAUUGUUUUUCCAAAUAUAAUUAGAAAGCCUAAUCUAAUAACAAUUUAGAUUAUGUAAACUCAAUUAGUACAUAUGCAUCUAAAAAUGCGAGACGGAUUCUCUAAUAUUUAUAUAUCUUUCUUGUUUUAGUAUUAAUUUUUAAUAGUAUUUGAUGUAGAAAUACAUUUUUUUUUCAUGUAUUAGCGAAUUAUUUAUUCUACAUAUCAAUGUACAAAGAGUCGGGGGUUCGAUAAUUCUAGAGCCCCACUUUUAAAGCUCGCCUAGAGCCUUCAAAUUCUCAAGCUGGCCUUGGUGAUGGUGCCAAUUGGCCUUUCCUAUAGCUUGAAUGGAAACUGAAGUUACAACCAUACACUUGUUUUGUACCUCCUGUCAUUCUCAUAUUGGAGUGACUCCCAAAUGGUUUCGUAGCAUACAAAAGGAAACUGGACUUUUUCACUUCGAUUUCUUAAAACUCAUUUAGCUAUGAUCUAACCGAUGAUGUUAUUCAAAUCACAUCAUCGACCUUGUUUCCAUCUGAUGUCCUAUCCUACAUAUAUUGAUUAUAAAUUUAAAAAGAGAGGGGGAGAGUCCAAGAGAGAGAGAGAGAGGGACAAUAGGAAAAAUGGGGAAGGGUCCCUUCCCUUCUCUUUCAAGCGCAUUACUAUUGAGUACGAUGCAAGAUUUCUAAGAACUUCACCAACUUUGUAAGACUAAUGAGAGAAGAUUUCAUAGUUCAAUUCUAAUGGUACAAAACUGUUCUCUACGCCCAGAGAGAAUUCCAAAAACAUAUAAUAGAGAACUGAGAAGCAGAAAAUACCUGUUUCACGUUACAUUUUCAGUGUGAUGAGCUUUGUCAGUAAACUAAACAGCCCAACAUCUAAAGCAGUAACUAACUCAGAUGAACUUCUAGACUCUAACCAUGACUUGACUGCAACUUUUGUUGUAAAAAACCAGCCAGCCUUGUCUAAGGCCUCAUGGAAUGGAUCAUUCAAUUCCUUCAAAUGCGACUAAAAUACACCCGCCAGACCUUUGUCUGAAUACUUAUAUUUCCCAUAUCCAGUAUUAAUUCCAAGCAACGGCAGAAGCUCCUCACCGGAUUCCAAUACCCGAGAUAGGUCAUUAAUCCAAACAUGUAAUGCAGUCAGAGCUGCCCCAAGAGAGAGGCCAUUGAGAUACAAAGACCACUGGGUCUGCGACCUUGACUGUAAGCCUAUAUAUAUCUGAAGUGUGAUCCCCAAGUCUAGUAGCUCACAGGCUCUCUCCAAGAGAUUGAGGUUCACACAAAGAUCAAUCAGGCAAUUGGAGUAAGCCUUCUUUACAUCCGAACCAAUCGAGUUAAAAAGUUGUGAAUCUUCGUUGUUGAACUUUUCACUACUUUCUUGCUUCUCCACUAAAAGUUUUAACACAUACCCUAGUUUUUCAUCAGCCCUCUCAAUGCAAUUCACAAGCUUGCAAAGUUCUUCCUUUGGUGUUUAAGUCAUCACAUUCAGGAGACAACCACAGAAACGCUCAUCUGGUGUUAUACCCAAUUCUAGGAGUUGAUUGAAUAUCUUGACAACGUCAUCAGUACGUUUUGCUUUACCCUAGCAUUGGAUGAGUGAUGUCAAAAUAAAGAUAUUUGGCUCAAAACCAACUUCCAACAUCUCAUUCAAUGUUGCUUCUGCCUCUAUGACUUUCCACACUACAAGAAUACAUGGUAAUCAUGGACGAAAAGGUCCAACUGUCAGGCUUCAGUGUUUCAAUACUCUUCAUUUCUUAAAAAAUCUCAAUGGCUUCGUCGGUGUAAACAACAUCAGCACACAUAGCUAAAAGGGUGUUAUAGAGAAUUACAUUUAACUCCAAUCCCUUUUCCUUCAUCUCUUUAUAAACAUUAAGAGCAUCAUCACAGUAACGAGCUAUACCAUAGGCCCUUAAAAGAGUUGCAUAGGUUACCCAAUUUGGUGAAAGCUCCUUGCUUAUCAUCUGUCGGUAAAUUUUCUUGGCCUGCCAAGGUCUCCUAGCUCUUCCCAUAGCAUCCAACAAAGUGUUAUAAAUAACCAAGUUUGGCUUAGCCCCUAUAGCUUUCAGUUCCUCAUAAACAUUCAAGCACCCAUCAAAAUUCCCCGAUUGCCCGUGAAUUUUGAUGAACGUAGAAAACGUCACUGGAUCAAUGCGCCGCUUCUCAGUCCUGGCCCGGUCAUACAAACUGAAAGCCAUUUCUACCUUACCCACACGUCCAUAGGCGUCAAUCAUAGCCGAAUAGGUAACAUCAUCCGGAUUACACCCAAAACCGGGAAUCUUCUCAAACCACUCCACAGCCUUAUCAAGCAAAGAACACAUCAAAGAGCAACUAAUCAUAGUCGAAAAGGUAACAUUAUCGGGGUUAACACCUCUCUGAAGUAUUUCGUCGAACAGCUUCUCUGCUCUCUCCAUAUCCUUACCCUUCCUACACACUUUCAAAGUCACAUUAUCCAAAAUCACCUCCCGCUUCGGUUUCAACCUCUGCUGAAAGUAGUUAAGCGCAAGCAAAGCAUUUUCCGGAUUGUUCAUGCUAUUCAGAACCACCACAGCGUUUGGUUCCAAAAUAUAAUCCCCUAGACCUUUUAAAGCUUCGAAAACAUCACUUUCAAUCGGAGUGCAAGAGUUCAAAUACUCAGCUACUUUCACCAAAGAAGCUUACCUGGAAUCGUAGGACUUGUGCCGCAGCUGUGAAGUUCUGGGGCUGCUGGGAUUGACCCAGAUAUAGCUUUUCGAGAAAGACCCGGAAUUUCCAUCUGGCCUCUGAAUAUUUCCAAUUUCUGGAGCUUUGGAGUUCUGGGCUUCUUCUGCAACUGGGUCUUGCAAAGAAACAUGGUGUAUUUGCAGAGAGGUUCUUGACUGAAAUUGCAGUGAAGGAAAACUGAGUCUGUGGGUGUUAAUUGCAAGGCUUAGGAGUCGGAAAUUAGUCGGGGAAGAAGAAGAAGGGAGAGAGCGGGGGGAGUUUGGGGGUUGCGGAAGAGAAAGGAGGGUGAGGAGCACAAGUGAUAAGCCAUUUUCCUCACCCUGUGGGGGAUUAUGAAAGGUGCAUUUCUUUUGCUUUGCAUUCACAGGACAAAUAUCUUUUUGAACUUGUGUCGGGCCUGGAAGUGAUUUUACGGCUUCGGAAGAUGUUCGAAGCCCAACUUGAAUUUCCAAGAGCUUUAUGAUCAGAUAAAAAGUUUAUUAAAAUAGGCAUUGUUUUGUAUAAGCAUUAAGGAAAAUGUUAUGAUUAAGCUUUUUCAUAGCAGUUUUAUCAUCGUUUUGUAGGUCCAGAUGUUCAAAAGCUUACGUGUAGGAAAGAUGAGUUUAAUAUAAAGAAAUCACAAACCAUAACAAAAUUGUGAGUGUUAGCUCAUAAAUUUUGUAGAAAAUGCAACAAUUGAUGUCAUUUAAGGUGUUCAGAAGCAUUCUUAUCGUAAUAGAAAAUUAAGAAUAAAAUCACCUCCACAUCCAAAUCUCCUUAAUGUCCCAUAAGAAUUUUAAGAUUCUUACGGUUAAAAUUUGACACAAAUAUAGGUUAUAUAUAUAUAUAUAUAUAUUUUAGGUUAUAUAUAGUUCUUGGCAAAAAAUCUAUAAAUCAAUAAAACACCGUAAAUAUUAGCUCACGAGAAAAUAUUAAAUUAACUAUUGAGCAUAAGAAUAUGUUGCAGAGGUAGAAAAAUGUUACGAGCCGUUAGGAAAUGGUGGGUUUUUGUAGGGUAUCAGCCGGAAUACAAACAUGGUGUUGGAUUAGUAGACACGUGGGGUUUUGGCUUUUGCUUAUUUUUGUAUAAACAUAUCAAUUAAUUCUCGAACAAACAAAAGGAGAAUGGAAUGAAAAGCAGGCAUAGGAGUAGUUCUUGUUUCUGGGAACACAUUAUUAUACACGUAUCUAGGUUGCUGCUGCCGCUCUCUCUCUCUCUCUCUCUCUCUCUCUCUCUCUCUCUCUCUCUCUCUCGUCGACAUUUGGAGGGGCCGAGGGAUCAAGGAUUUGUUUAAUUUAGAGUAAUGUUAAGAAAACAAAAUUUAUAAAUAAAAUUUACAAAUUAAAUGAUGUGUCGCUAAUAAGAAAUUAACACAUUUAUAAACGUUUAAGUAAUAAUCAAAUCAUCAACUUUCAUGUCAUUUAGUUAAUAAAAUUUAGUCUACAAAUUUAGUCUUCUUAAUAUUACUCUUUAGUUUAUGGUAGAAUCUAACUAUGUGGGGCUGAAAAUGAUAUAGUUGAGCAUUGUUAGACGAGAAAUGGUAGCUAAAUUUCAUUCUUUAGUUUACUCAUAUGAGCCCUGGGAGGCCAAGGAACACAUUAUCUUGAUCAAAUAGUGUAACUCAUAUAAGCUUCAGAAGAUAAGAGAUUGCUUCGGGAUGGGUUUUUGUUUUUGUAAAGAAAGAAAAAAAUAUAGUUUAGAUUAGAACAUGCUGGUAGGAGAGAAAAAUGGUUAGCUUUUGGAAAUAUAGGUAAAUAUAGAAAAAUAAUAAUGAGUUUUUUUAAAAGAAAUCAAAAUUUUGUUUGUGUUAAUAGAGUUCAUGUUACAUUUAAUAAAUGAGAAAGAUACGUAGCUAGAUUCUUCUGUUCACACCUCCUCAAUUCCACUCUUGACCAAUAAGAACGCACGCGCACGCACUGUGCAGGACAAAGAAGGGAAUGUGGAAUGGAAACUUUUAUUGCAUUGAAAAUUGUAGCAGCCACCAACUUCAUCUUCAUCUUCAUCUUCAUGAUGAGAUGUAUCUCUCUCUCUAUAGUCUAUACUAAUGAUAUAAGAACAGAUUAACGUGAUUGUGACUUGACAACCACCAAGAUCAACGACCAACUUUAUUAUUCACUUAACAAUAUAUGACCCUCCUAUAAUAUUAAUAUCGAACACUGCUAAAAUAUUAUCCCGAGAUUGAAGAAGUUAUCACGGUCCAACAAGAUGAUCGAUGAUUUACAUGACUGUGCAAGCUGAGGGAUUUUCUUCACUGAAACAGUCAGGGCGGGUAACGCAAUACCCCCUGUUGCCACCACCGUAACUGUCAUACACAGGCCUCCCAUAGUAACCAUCAUACUGGAUGUACGAGGCUAGCCCCCCGCUAUAACCACUGUGGCACGGCCCAGCUGCAUGCCCCUGGUAACAAUCCAUACAACACGCUUGGACAUGCGAUGAGGGUCCAGGAUUUAGCAGGCCAACUUUAGGUUUACCGUCAUCUUUAGGCGUACUGUCAUCUUUAGGCUUACCGUCACCUUUAGGCUUGCCGUCAUCUUUAGGCUUACCUUCAUCUUUAGGCUUACUGUCAGCUUUAGGCUUGCCUUCAUCUUUAGGCUUACCGUCAGCUUUAGGCUUGCCAUCAUCUUUGGGUGCUUUGGGCUUGCCGUCAUCUUUGGGUGCCUUGGGCUUCUCGGGCUCUUUGAUCUCAAUGCUUUUGAUGGCACUCCCACCUUUGCAGCAAAUCUUGUCCCUCAUCUUUUCUGGACUGCAGCAUACCACUUUGAUAACCACUUG